AAAGGUUGUACCACUGACGUCACAUCAUCUAGCCAAUGGGCGAGGAGAUCAGCGUUGGUUCGUCCCCUAUGGUUCGUCCGUUGCAGUUUGAAUUUUUCAACGAGAUCAACCCAAACAGUGUGAGAUAAAGGAGCAUCGCGCCCAAAGUUUUAUACCAUGAGCUGGGCGGUGGAGGAGUGGAAGGAUGGACUUCCAGGGAAAGCCCUGCAGAAGAUCCAGGAGCUGGAGGGCCAGCUGGACAAACUGAAGAAGGAAAGGACCCAGAAACAGUUUCAGCUGGACUCUAUAGAGGCUGCCCUGCAAAAACAGAAGCAAAAGGCGGACAAUGAACGCUCUGAAACUUCUGCUUUGAAAAGAGAGAACCAGUCUUUAGUUGAGUCAUUAGACUCUCUGGAGAAAGCUCGUCAAAAGGCAUGCCAUGACCUCGGAGUCAAAGAGCAGCAGGUGAGCUACCUGGAGGGUCAGCUGAACUCCUGCAGGAAGACCAUAGAACGACUGGAGCAGGAGCUCAAAAAGUACAAAAAUGAACUGGAUCGUUCUCAGCCUGCUGGCUCUUCCUCCUUGUCGUCAUCUUCCUCAGAGCUGACUUCCUACACAACUCCACAGAAAAGUUUUACAACCCCAGCUCCUGUCCAGGCCUACAGACAGCAGGACAACAGACUGGAGGAGCUUCAGGAGAAAUACAGUCAGGAGGUGGAGGAAAGAAAAAGGCUGGAGACUGAACUUAAAGUUCUACAGGUCAAGCUGUUGAGUCAGUCUUCAGUCAGUGUGAGCCACAAGGACAUUGCUGCCCGCCAAGCUGGAUCGUCUAUAUUCCCAUGGCAGAAGCAGGAUCAGGCUCAUGGCCGCCUGUCUCAGGAUGCGAUGGAAACGCCUCUGAAGAGGCGGGGGACCUCCCUGUGGGACGCCCAUGAGGAGACACCUAUUAAAACCAGCCAGCGAAUGAGCUGUUCCAUACCAAUGCAGAGUCCUGGCGGAUCCUCCCAACAGACAGAGCAGCUGAAGACCAUCAACCAAGAGCUGCGUAGCCGUGUAACAGAACUGGAAAGGAAUCUGGCCUCUCAGGACAAGGAAAUUCGUAGCCAAGCCUCCAAGCUACAGGAACUCCAAACCCAAGUGAACCAGGCUCGCAAGGAUUUGACUGAACGGGACAGAGACCUGGCCAAGACCAGCCACGAGCUGAGCCAGGUUACUGACAAACACCAGCAGGCUGUUUCUAAGUGUUCAUCAGUGGAGCUGAAGCUGAAACAAGUCACAGAGGAGAUGAACUGUCAGAGACACAACGCUGAGAGCUGCAAACGAGCCCUGGAGCAGAAACUCAAGGACCAAGAGAGAGACAGUCAAAAGGAGCUGGCCCAGCUGCAGAGUUCUCACCAGGCUUUGGACCAGCAGCUGAAUCAGACCAGAACCAAGCUGACGCAAGAGCUCCAACAGUCCAAGAAAGAACACAACGUGCUGCAGGCAGACAUGGAGAAGAUGAGCUCCCAGAAGAGUCAGAUGGAGAGGACAGUAGAGGAGCAGAGACAGAAACUGCUGAGGUCAGAGCAGAGCCUUCAGGCCACCCAGACCAAAGAGCAAGACCUCCGGAAGAAAAUGGAGGAGCUGCAGAAAGAGAAGAACAGUGUGACAGUCCAGUUGGACCAGAGCAGCAGGCGUCUGAGUCAGCUGGAGGAUGAGAAGAAGAGCACAGACCAGAGCUUCAAACGCACUCAGGGGUUACUGGAUGACUUGAAAGCAAAAUCAGAGGGACAGGCAGAGGAGGUGAAGAAAUUGCAGACUAAACUGGAGCAGCAGACCCAGACCUCCGCCAGAGAUCUUGAGAACCUGAAGAAGACACUUUCUGAUGCAGAGACAAAAACUGACAGAUCUCAGAGUGAGCUGCGGACACAGAAGCAGGAGGCAGAGAAGCUCACCAACAGGCUGACCGUCCUCGAGAAGGAAGCUCAAGAGCUCAAAUCCAAUCUCACUGCUAGCCAGAAUGAGCGUAAGGACCUGAAACAAGAACAUCAAGUUCUGCUGGAGUGGAAGAAAGAAAAGGAGACAUUGAUUAAUGAAACUGAGGCUGUGCAGAAGGAGCUCACUGACAAAAUUGGAAACUUGGAGAACAGCCUGACCUCACUGAAUGAGGCUAAGGAUGAACUCAAGAAGCAGCUUGAGAGUGUAGAAGGAGACAAAGCAAGUCUGUCAGCUCACAUCGACACCUUGAAAGGAGAACUCCUCAACAAGAGCACUGAGCUGGAGGAGAGGGAGCAUCAGCACCAGGAGCUCCAGUCUAAGUUCUCUGAAGCUGGACUGAAACACACAAAAGACCUGGAGAAUGUGGCCGUACAGGUGGCUCAACUAGAAGCCCAGGUCAAAGUUCUGGAGUCACAUUUGCAAAGGGAGACGAUUCGAGCAGAACAGGCUGAGCGGACUAACAUAGAGCUACAGGACGAACACCAGACAGCCUGUGAUCUGGCUCGCUCCAAAGACCAGCUGCUGGAGCUUAGCCAAGCAGAGGUCAACCAGCUGAGGGAGAGCCUUGCUCUAUCCACUGCACAACAGGAGGAGCACAAUGUCAGGUUGUCAGAGGAGAAGGCUGCUCUGCUGAAGCAGUGUGAGGAAAGUGUUUCAGCAAAGAUGGAGGAGUCUGAGCAGCUGAACCUGAAGUUGGAGGAGACUCAGCAAGAGCUCCAGCUUACCAAAAAUCAGGUCAGUUCAAAGGAUCAGCUUCUGAAGGUCCAGGAGCAGCUUGGAGCUGAGCUGCAAAAACAGAUUGAGACGCUGUCAGAAAAUGUAGAGGAACACAAGAAGAUGCAUGAGAAGAAAUCAGAAGAGCUCAAGCAGUUAGAAGAGGAGAUGAAGGAUCUGCAGAGCCAGACUGAGGAGAAGGAGCAGCAGCUGAGAGAGGCUGAAGUUCAGGUCGCGUCUCUGGAGAAACUGAAGGAUGAGCUGGAAAGUUCAGUUCAGGAGACAAAGAGAGAAGCUGAGAACAUCAAGCUGAGUCAGACUGAGAGGAUUAACAGCCUUCUGGAGCAGAUAUCAACCCUAGAAGAAGAGAUGUCUGUCAGCAAAGCUGUAGCAGAGCAGCUCCCAGUCCUAAAGAAUGAACUGGAUGUGAUCAACCAAGCCCACGUUGAACUUGUGAAACAGUUUGAAGCCCUGGAGAGGAGUCACUCUUCUACUGUUGAAAUCAAAUCUGACUUGGAGAACACCCUGACAGAGAAAAGCAACCUGCUCUCUGGUUUGGAAACAGAGGUCAAAGAGCUCAAAGAUAAGAUGAACAAAGAGUCAGAGAACCACGCUUUGGAGAUUCAAAACGCCCACAACAAAGAGAAAUGCCUGAAAGAGAAGCUCGAAGCAACAAAAAAAUCUGUUGCUUCUUCCAAAGCUGAGUCCAGGUCUCGAGGGGAGGAGAUCAGGACUAUGAAGACGACUCUGUCAGCGGCUUCAAGCGGGUUAGAGGAGAGAGACAACACCAUAAAGAGUCUGAAGGAGAAGCUGAAUAAAGCAGAGGCAGAGCAAGCCAAAACCUCCGAGCAGCUGAAGGAGAAGGUUGUAUCUAUGAACAAAAUCAAGGUGCAGAUGGAGAUGCUUCAAAUGGACCUGGAGGACAACGAGACAGUCAUGAACUCUUUUGACACUCAGGUGGAAGAGCUGAAGGGGACAGUAGAGUCCCUGGGGGCUCAGCUGGCUCAAAACCAGAUCCAGAUGUCCGACAUGGAGGUCAAACUGGAGGACGGCAAAGCACAGGUGUCUGUCUUGGAAACCCGGUUAGAAGAAGUCCUAUCUCAGAACUCAGUGCUGGAGAGUCAGUACGUUACAGCGAGGGAGGAGCUGAUGGAGAGGAGCUAUGAAAUAUCUCGCCUGGAGGAGGACGCUGUCAAAAAAAGCCAGCUGGAGGAGAGCGUUGCAACUUUAGAGUCUCAACUAAGCCAGGCUACUGAGGAAAGUGUGAAAUCCGAGACAGCUCUCAGGCAGAUCAUUGAGGACAAGGACAACAGUCUUCACCAGUUACUGCAGGAGAAAAACACGCUGGAGACUACUCUGAAACAGUUAGCAGAAGACAAGGAGCAAGUUGAAACUGAAACUAUUCGAGUCAAUGCAGAGAAGAAACAGCUACAGGCCAGUUUAGACGAGCUGACUGAGCAGAACAAACAGCUGCAGAGCCAUGUUGGAAAGUUUACUGAAGAGAAACAAAGAGCAGAAUCCACUCUGAGACAGGUCAUUGAGGAAAAAGCUCGGCUCAAUGUUAUCAUAGGUUCAAUAAAUGAGGAAAAAAUACAACUUGAGGCCAAGCUGAGUGAGCUAACUUCUGAAAGGAAUAACUUGAAAGGAGUUUUUGAGGAAAGGCUUGAGCUGGAAGUUAGCUUUAAUCAGCUGACUGAGGAGUACAAAAAUCUACAAUCCAGCCUGAAUCAAGUAACUGAAGAGAAGCUGCAGUUACGAGAAAAUAUAGAGAGGUACGAAGAUGAGGUGGCUUCAAUCAGAGAGUUAAAUGAGAAUAUCCAGCGCUCCGUCCUGUCCUCGGAGCAGGAACAGCAGAGACUGAAAGAGCAGCUGCAGAUGAGAGACGAGAGGACUGAGGAAGACAAAGAGAGAAGGCAGCAGUCUGAGGCAGAGCAGGCUGCGCUGCAACAGAAGCUGGGGGCCUUACAGAAGGCCUUAUUGGAGUUCAAGCAGAAGUACGAUUCUCUGCUGGAGCAAGUGGACCAACAGCAUAGCCUCAUACUGCUGCUGUCAGAACUUCAGGAGACUCACAACCAAGGAGAUCAAAUCAGCAACAUGGAGUCUGAGGAGACACAAAGUGAAGCAGCAGGGCAAACAGACACAGAGUCAUAUGAUGCAUGCGUCAGAACAGAUACCGAGACCUCUCCUGUGGCGUCUGAAGGAGCCCAACUGUCCAGCCAGUCUGAGGAGGCUUCCAGUGAGACAGAGCUCGUUUUAAUGGAUGACAUUGCUGACAAAGAGAUGACUCAAGAACAACUGCAUGCAGACAUUUCACUGUGUGUGGCCAGUGUAGAGGGAAUGAGAGAUGAGGAGGUGCAGCAUCAACAGGAAUCCUUAGACCAGGUUACUGAAGACGGCAGUAAUCUCACUGUUACUGUUGAAAAUCAACCAGAAAUCUGCGAGUUCCCUCUAUCUUCUUCUUCCUCCAGUGAAAACAGACAGUUAGAAUCCUCAGGGUCAUCCCAGAAACAAGAUGACUCCAACCACCUGCAAGAUGUUCUCAAAACUCGAGAGAAUGAGCUUCAGUCCCUGUGUGCAGAGUUGAACCUACUGAAAUCAGAACUUGCUUUGAGGGUAGAGCUAAACUCUGAGCUGGAAGUCCAGGUUCAGAACUUAGAGAAGAAAAGUCAUGCAGCAGAAGAAGAGGCAAACAGGUCUGCACACAAGCUGAGCAUUGCUUUGGAGGACAAGAAAGGCGUUGCUGACCAGUUGGUGGAGCUGACAGAGGAGAGGGACACACUUACUCUGCAGCUGCAAACUGCUAAAUGUCAGCUGACUGAUGUGAUGGAGAUGUUGGAGGGACUGGAGAUGGCCAAAGGUGGCUGGGACGAGAAAUUCCUUCAGCAGGAGAGUGAGCUUAGGAGGGUCCGCUCUGAGAAAGCCAAUCUGGAGCAGCACAUACUGGGCAUGGAGUGUGAGCUGGAGACCCUGCAGGAGGAGGGGAGCAAACUGAAGGAUGAGAUUGAGACUCAGAGGAGGACAUGUUCUGGCAUGGAGCAGCAGGUGGAGAUGCUCGGGACAGAGACGACACAGCUGAGAUCUGAACUUGUGUCCUGCACUGAGGAGCGAGACGACCUGAACCAGUCUUUGAGCCAGUGGAGAGAGAAAGCUCACGGCCUGGAGAAGACUAACUGUGACACCAGAAACCUAAUUUCCAUCCUGGAGGAGGACAUCAGAGCGGGGAGAAAGGAGUAUGAAGCUCUGAAAAGCAGCAUGGAGAAACUAAAUGCAGAGAGGCAACAGCUGUUGGAGCAGAUGAGGACAAUGGAGCAGGCGAUUUCUCAGCAGAGUGGAGAAAGAAAGGAGCUCAUAGGGCAGCUUGACAGAAUCAAAGAAGACCACACCUCAGCCAAUCAAAACACAGAAUCCAUGGAGGGAAAGAUCCAGGCUUUAGAGGGAGAAGUGUGUCGCCUCUCACAGUCUCUGGAGUCCUCUCUGCUUGAAAAGGGCGAGAUUGCCUCUCGUCUGAACUCCACACAGGAUGAGGUCCGGCAGAUGAGGACUGGUAUUGAAAAGCUCCAGGUUCGCAUUGAGUCGGAUGAGAGGAAGAAAAAGAAGAUGGGGGAGCUGCUUAAAGCUGCACAGAGAAAGUCUGACUCACUGCAGGAUCGUAUCGAUGCUCUGGAGCGAGAGAAGGAGGAUGCUGAGCAAAGCCUGGAGGAUGCUGUGAUUCAGGCUGAGACAGCUAAAGCUGAGCUGGAAGAAGAAAGAACAAAGGUGGAGGAGCAGAAGACAGACCUCAACAAUAAGCUAUCAGAGCUCUCUGCCACAUUAGACAACCUCAGAUCUGAGAAAGAACGCAUGGAAAGGGAGCUGGAAACAAAAAACAAAGAGAUAGGAGAGCUGAAGGCUGCCAAGGAGGAGCUGGAGAGAGGGCUGGAGAAGGCAGCAGUGGACAGAAGAGAGGAAGAGGAAAGACAGAAAAACAGGGUGGAAGAGCUGGAGAAAGGAAUGAGGGAGGAAUCGGAGAAGAAAACGAGACAAGUAGAUGAACUCCUGGCACAGCUGGUGGCCCUUCAACAGAGAGAGGUCUCUCUUGAACAGAACAGAGUGGAAACUGAAGGAGAAAGAGAGAGUUUGCAGUCUCUGCUGCAAGAGAUGGAGAGGGAGAAAAUGUGUCUUCAGUCUUCCCUGGAGGAGUGGCAGAGAGAAGGAGAGAGGCUGCGCUCUCAGGGAGAGGAGUGGGAGAAAGAGAGGAACAACCUGAGGAGCAGUAUUGAGACUUUGGAAAAAGAAAUUCAAGAGCUUCAGUCAGUCCUGAAGGCAAAAGAGGAGGAGAAAGAUAUUUUGGAAAAGGAGAGGGAGAAGGAGGCAGAGCAGAGAGACACCUCUGUAAAAUCCAUCACCUCUCUUAUGGCGGAGAAAGAACAGAUAGAAGAUAAACUCAGUCGUCAGGCAGAGGAGAAAGAGAAACUGCACUCCACCCUGUUUCUGGUGGAACAAGAGAGAGAUAAACUGCGCUCUGCUCUGGUAACUGUAGAAGAAGAGAAAGAAAGACUGGAGCAAGAGAGCCAGGUGUUAGCUGGAGAGAAAGAGAAGCUUCAGUCCUCAGCAGAGAAGGAGAAACAUGACAUGCAACUGACUCUCUCUUCAUUAAAGCAAGAACAGGAAACAACAGAAGAGGAGAGGCAGAAACUCAAGGCUGAAAAGGAAGAACUGCAGUCCUCCCUUUCUUUGAUCGAAGCUGAGAGACAGCAGCUGUCGUCCUCUCUUUGUUCACUGGAACAAGAGAAGCAAAGAGCCGUGGAGGACAAGAAGAAACUCUCAGAGGAGCAAGAGCAUCUUCAGUCUGCAGUCUCAGCUUUGGAGAAGGAGCUGGAGACACACAGGUUGUCUGUGUCAAAGCUCAAUGAGCAGACGUCAGAGUUGACGUCAAGUGUUGCUCGUCUGACUAAAGAGAGAGACUCCGCCCUGAGCAAGAUGAGUCUUUGGAUGAAGACGUGCAAACAGCUGGAGCAAGAGAAGGAAGUGAUGCUGAACAGCUCAGGUGACAGUAAGAGCAGUGAGGCGGUGCAGUCUGAGGUCAACCUGCUGAAGUUAGAGGCGGAAGAGAGACAGAAGGAGGUGGCAGACCUGGAGACAGCCUUGAAGCAGAAGAGGAAGGAGGCAGAAGAAAACAGCAAGGAGCUGGAAGAGCUUAAGGUUGCUCUUGAGGGGAAGAAAAAGGAGGCAGAGGAGAGAAACAAAGAGCUGGAGGAGAUGAAGAGCGAUUUGGAAGAACUGAACACUCUUGUGGAGGAGAAGAGCAAGGAGGCAGAUGAGAGUAUGGAUAAAUACUGCAACCUGAUGAUUAAAGUUCACAAACUGGAAGAGACCAACGAUGCACUGACAACACGGCUGGAGCAGCUCACUGCUACCAAACAUGCCAAUGAAGCUAGCAGCAGUUCAGGCAGCACUGAAAAUACUCACCGCAGACGCUCAACAAGAAAGUCCUCCUCCAAACAUCUGGAAGAAAAACUGGACGACAACGCAGAGAACAAGGCUCCUUCGACUCCUCAGAGGUCACCUCAAGGCUCGGUCAAACGAGGUCACCAGGAUGUGAGCAACAAAGACAGCGCACAGGAGGCUCUGCACAACCUGACCAAGAAGAUCAAGGCCAACGCAGCGACGACACCCAAACCUAAGACUGAGAAGGAGGACGAGGACUUCAGACCAGAGGGACUUCCUGAGCUGGUGAAAAGAGGGUUUGCUGAUAUUCCCAUGGGUGAGGAGAGCCCCUUCAUCAUGAGGAGAACCAACGUGAGGCGCUGCAGUCCUCGACUGAUUGCCAAACUGUCUGCACCUGACUGCAAGAAGUAAUCAGCCAGCUGAAGGGUUUUGAACAGUGACGCCUGCCAUCAAGUGUAGGACAGAAAGGGAGAACAGAGAGGAAAAGAUGCCAACAGAAGCAGCCAAUGAUCUUUUGUGGCAACUUAUCGAGAAAAGUGAGCCUGACAGGCAAGGCCAAGUUUACAAAAGCCUGGGAAGAUGGGAUGAAAAGAAAGUGGUGUGUCUGCAUUUUCAACUACUAUUGUUGUGUAAUGCUGACACUAAGGUUUUGGGACCAAUACCCCUCCAGAGUCCAUCUUCAGACAGCUCCAACAGGAAGUGUCUUUCCCCAAGUGGAGAGGACAAACUUUCCCGUCGUUCACUAGUAACUGAGCAGAAAGAGAUGCAACAAUCACAACAAGGAGACAACUGUCACGUUCAGUAGAUCCACAAACCACCAAACAAACACACUUCCACUUUUGCACUGGUGAUUGAUUUGUAGAAUUACACACGUGAACACUGGUUAAUGCAGAAAGAUCAGCACUACACUAUAAUAAAGACACAAUUUAAUGAAUAUGAAUACACGUUUACUUUAAAAUAUAUUAGCAGGUUCUAAAACUUUUUCACUCGUAGAAUGCACCUUUCCUCUGUCUUUGCGUUUGUGUGUUUAUCUCUUUUUUAUUUCCUGAAAAGUCUCUUUUCUUCGAGGACAGCAAAAGACAGAACUGCUCUGUUCAUUUUAUUGUGCGGCCUCAAGUCAUGAAAAAUAAAUCAAUAACUGAAGUGAGGAGCUGAAGAUUGGAACUAGCUUACAAACUUUUGAUUUUCCUCACAGCUUUAUUUUCAUUCUGCUCCACAUUUUUAAUAACUCUGCAUCUCCUCAAUGUUGGCUGUUUGACUGAUGAUUGAAGUCUCCAUUGUUCUGAUAUACCACUGAAUGUAAACCAGCUUGGUGUAUUUGUUCCUAUGUUUUUGUCUCUUUUCUAUGUGACAGCACCAAUGACUCACUGGUUGUACUUUACUUUCUGUAGCACCGUUCUCUGUGUACGUCAGGAAUGUCCUGAACAUUGUACAUAGUAGAUUAUAUAUACAGAUUUGCUUCAUUCAUCUAUUAGUUCUGUAACAUAUCACCUGAUUGCUAAUGGCAGCUAACAUUUUUUUUUACUUUCAUCUCUGACUUUUACCCAGAUUCAAAGUUCAUGUCAAGAUACAAGCAAGAUGAAAAAGUGUUUUAGAUUAGAUUUUUUUAUUAAAUGAUUUCCCACCACACUUUGCAAAAAAAUCUGAAAGCAAGUCUGCAUUUUAUAUUUGUUCUUAUCCACCCAUGACUCAAUGUCACUGUAACUGUAAAUAUUUUUUAUGAUGCCCAGUAAUUCAUAUUUGCUUUUUUCUUUUCAACUAAACAUUUUUAACUGCUUCAUAA
Molecule: RNA transcript, 9880 nt
Organism: Notolabrus celidotus (New Zealand spotty)
Lineage: Eukaryota; Metazoa; Chordata; Actinopteri; Labriformes; Labridae
Gene: cenpf
Gene name: centromere protein F
Exons: 40
Source: RefSeq, a predicted model, not a curated record